CAGUUGGGCACUCUAGAGGGACUGCCGGUGGUCAAACCGGAGGAAGGUGGGGAUGACGUCAAGUCCUCAUGGCCUUUAUGUCUAGGGCUACACACGUACUACAAUGGCCGGUACAAAGGGCAGCCACUCAGCGAUGACGGCGCUAAUCCCAUAAAGCCGGUCUCAGUCCGGAUCGCAGUCUGCAACUCGACUGCGUGAAGUUGGAAUCGCUAGUAAUCGUAGAUCAGCAUGCUACGGUGAAUACGUUCCCGGGCCUU
Molecule: ribosomal RNA, 257 nt
Filed under: uncultured Desulfovibrio sp.
Lineage: Bacteria; Pseudomonadati; Thermodesulfobacteriota; Desulfovibrionia; Desulfovibrionales; Desulfovibrionaceae
Description: partial 16S ribosomal RNA
Rfam family: Bacterial small subunit ribosomal RNA
Source: RNAcentral